Molecule: transfer-messenger RNA, 358 nt
Filed under: Parcubacteria group bacterium ADurb.Bin247
Lineage: Bacteria
Description: transfer-messenger RNA, SsrA
Rfam family: transfer-messenger RNA
About the family: Bacterial tmRNA, also known as 10Sa RNA or SsrA, is named for its dual tRNA and mRNA-like properties. Its role is to liberate the mRNA from a stalled ribosome.
Source: RNAcentral
GGGGAUGCACUAGGAUUUGACAAAGGCGAAACACAAGUAAUGCGGGUCGAGUAUUCUUGAAUCUCGUUAAACUUCAAGAAAAUUAAUAAGUGCCAACUUAUUUAACAAACAACCCGCGUUAGCAUACGCAUAACGCCAUCCGCCUUUAUUGACUCCUGAUAAAUUAAGGUGGGUGUCAUUUUAUCAGGAAUUGUGUUUAAGUUUUUGGUUUUUUAUUAACCACAAUAAAACAAAAGACCAAGCACCUAAAGGUUUUGCUUAAUUUUAGACUUUUGGUUGCUUUUAAAAAUUGGGCUACGCUCGUAGAUUUACUUGAGUAUUGCCCUUUGGACGCGGGUUCAAUUCCCGCCAUCUCCAC